UACGUAGGUGGCAAGCGUUAUCCGGAAUUAUUGGGCGUAAAGCGCGCGCAGGUGGUUCUUUAAGUCUGACGUGAAAUCCCCGGGCUCAACCUGGGAAUUGCGUUGGAGACUGCAAGGCUAGAAUCUGGCAGAGGGGGGUAGAAUUCCACGUGUAGCAGUGAAAUGCGUAGAGAUGUGGAGGAACACCGAUGGCGAAGGCAGCCCCCUGGGUCAAGAUUGACGCUCAUGCACGAAAGCGUGGGGAGCAAACAGG
This 253-nucleotide ribosomal RNA is filed under the name uncultured bacterium. Its description in RNAcentral is "partial 16S ribosomal RNA". It matches the Rfam family "Bacterial small subunit ribosomal RNA", at positions 524 to 776 of the family's 1533-position model. The record is from RNAcentral.